RNAcentral lists this ribosomal RNA (275 nucleotides) under Klebsiella aerogenes. RNAcentral's name for it is "partial 16S ribosomal RNA". It matches the Rfam family "Bacterial small subunit ribosomal RNA", at positions 326 to 593 of the family's 1533-position model. The record is from RNAcentral. Lineage: Bacteria; Pseudomonadati; Pseudomonadota; Gammaproteobacteria; Enterobacterales; Enterobacteriaceae.
ACGGUCCAGACUCCUACGGGAGGCAGCAGUGGGGAAUAUUGCACAAUGGGCGCAAGCCUGAUGCAGCCAUGCCGCGUGUAUGAAGAAGGCCUUCGGGUUGUAAAGUACUUUCAGCGAGGAGGAAGGCGUUAAGGUUAAUAACCUUGGCGAUUGACGUUACUCGCAGAAGAAGCACCGGCUAACUCCGUGCCAGCAGCCGCGGUAAUACGGAGGGUGCAAGCGUUAAUCGGAAUUACUGGGCGUAAAGCGCACGCAGGCGGUCUGUCAAGUCGGAU